This 468-nucleotide ribosomal RNA is filed under the name uncultured bacterium. Its description in RNAcentral is "bacterial SSU rRNA". It matches the Rfam family "Bacterial small subunit ribosomal RNA", at positions 29 to 506 of the family's 1533-position model. The record is from RNAcentral.
ACGAACGCUGGCGGCGUGCUUUACACAUGCAAGUCGAACGAUGAUGGGGUGCUUGCAUCCCUGAUUAGUGGCGAACGGGUGAGUAACACGUGAGUAACCUGCCCCAGACUCUGGGAUAACUCCGGGAAACCGGGGCUAAUACUGGAUAUCAUUUCUGCCUGCCUGGGUGGUUGUUGAAAGGGUUUCUGGUCUGGGAUGGGCUCGCGGCCUAUCAGCUUGUUGGUGGGGUGAUGGCCUACCAAGGCGAUGACGGGUAGCCGGCCUGAGAGGGGGACCGGCCACACUGGGACUGAGACACGGCCCAGACUCCUACGGGAGGCAGCAGUGGGGAAUAGUGCACAAUGGGCGAAAGCCUGAUGCAGCGACGCCGCGUGAGGGAUGACGGCCGUCGGGUUGUAAACCUCUGUCAGUAGGGAAGAAGCCGCUUGCGGUGACGGUACCUGCAGAAGAAGCGCCGGCUAACUACGU